RNAcentral lists this ribosomal RNA (260 nucleotides) under uncultured bacterium. RNAcentral's name for it is "partial 16S ribosomal RNA". It matches the Rfam family "Bacterial small subunit ribosomal RNA", at positions 337 to 594 of the family's 1533-position model. The record is from RNAcentral.
GCCUACGGGGGGCAGCAGUGAGAAAUAUUGGUCAAUGGGAGAGAUCCUGAACCAGCCAAGCCGCGUGAAGGAAGACGGCCCUAUGGGUUGUAAACCUCUUUUGUCGGAGAACAAAACCCGGGACGUGUCCCGGACUGCGUGUAUCCGAAGAAAAAGCAUCGGCUAACUAAGUGCCAGCAGCCGCGGUAAUACGGAGGAUGCGAGCGUUCUCCGGAUUGAUUGGGUUUAAAGGGUGCGUAGGCGGGCCGUUAAGUCAGCGG